UACGGAGGGUGCAAGCGUUAUCCGGAUUACUGGGUUUAAAGGGUGCGUAGGUGGGUCUGUAAGUCAGUGGUGAAAUCUCCGAGCUUAACUCGGAAACUGCCAUUGAUACUAUAGAUUCUUAGAACUUAUCGUGGAGUGAGCGGAAUAUGUCAUGUAGCGGUGAAAUGCUUAGAUAUGACAUAGAACACCAAUUGCGAAGGCAGCUCUACUACG
Molecule: ribosomal RNA, 213 nt
Filed under: uncultured bacterium
Lineage: Bacteria
Description: partial 16S ribosomal RNA
Rfam family: Bacterial small subunit ribosomal RNA
Source: RNAcentral